UACGUAGGGGGCUAGCGUUGCUCGGAAUCACUGGGCGUAAAGCGCACGUAGGCGGUUUGCUAAGUCAGGGGUGAAAUCCUGGAGCUCAACUCCAGAACUGCCUUUGAUACUGGUGAGCUUGAGUCCGGAAGAGGUGAGUGGAACUGCGAGUGUAGAGGUGAAAUUCGUAGAUAUUCGCAGGAACACCAGUGGCGAAGGCGGCUCACUGGUCCGGUACUGACGCUGAGGUGCGAAAGCGUGGGGAGCAAACAGG
This 253-nucleotide ribosomal RNA is filed under the name uncultured bacterium. Its description in RNAcentral is "partial 16S ribosomal RNA". It matches the Rfam family "Bacterial small subunit ribosomal RNA", at positions 524 to 776 of the family's 1533-position model. The record is from RNAcentral.